GUGUGUGAGUGUUGUGUGUGUCUAGGUGCAGUUUUUUCUGUCUGCUGGAUGGUGAAGGCUGUACUUCCUGUGAUGGAUGCGUUUCUAUCACACCAAGAGUCUUAUUUUCUCAUCAGUCCUUAAGGAGGUGAAACCGCAGAAGUUUAAGCCUCAAGAGAUCUCCAGGUACUGAUCCAGGAACAGGACCAGCAAACCAGAUCAACUUGUGAACACAGUGAGCAGAGGAUGAUUGUGAUGGGAAAUCCAGAACAUUUCAGCAGUGGUUGAGUUUUGAGAUAUUCAGUCUCAUGUGGACCGCCUCUGACGGUCUCAAACACAUAACUGGUGACAAGUGAAUCUGGUUUGAAGGCGGGACAUAAUUGUCAUAUGCGAUCGGGGAGAGACAGAGAGAUGAUUACAACAGAUGCAGCAGUGCCAAAGGGCGUUCAGGCCUAUAGGAGACUGUUGCCUUUGGAAACCAUUAAGCAUGUAUAUGUUUAAAAGGCAUACAUGAAUUGAAUGUGAUGACAUUGACAGCAGACAUCUACAUGUUUCCAG
Molecule: long non-coding RNA, 537 nt
Organism: Ctenopharyngodon idella (grass carp)
Lineage: Eukaryota; Metazoa; Chordata; Actinopteri; Cypriniformes; Xenocyprididae
Exons: 5
Source: RefSeq, a predicted model, not a curated record